CAUUAUUACGGGAUCAAAUAGCAAAAUAAUUCAAUAAAAUAUUAACUUACGCGUUAACUUUACGUUAAUGAAAUACAGUCAAACCUGUCAGUAACGGCCACUAAAAUGAAAGAACUAUUGGCUGAUAUAGAAAGGUGGCCGUUAUUGCCAGUUUUUGUAGUCUAGAUAUACAGUAAAACUUGUGUUACUGGCCACCUGAUAAAAUCGGCCACCUGUACUAACGGCCAAUUUAAAAAUUCCCCAAACCAAUUAUAUCUAGACUACAAAAACUGGCAAUACCGGUCACCUUUCUAUAUCGGCCAAUAGCUUUUUCAUUUUUAGUGGCCGUUACUGACAGGUUUUACUGUAAUUGGUUUGGGGAAUUUUUAAACUGGCCGUUAGUACAGGUGGCCGGUGUUUGCAGGGGGCCGGUAACACAGGUUUUACUGUAGUUUAAAUCGAAAAGAUUAAAUCUUAAUUCAAAAUUGUAUAUAUACAAUUAUUACAAUUAUAAACUAUAUAUAGUUUAGUAUCCAAAACAUGUUUUUGAUUUUAUGUAAUGUAAUGAAAAUAUUAUUUGUAAAUUAUUGGUUACAACUGUUUAACAAUAGGAAAUAUUCAAGAAUAAAUAAAAUAAAAGUUUAAUCCUAACAACACAAAACAUUCCAGGAAUGUAGGUACUACCGUUCUAUUCCGUGAACAUCUAUCUGAUUAAAUUAUGGGUGGAAAGUUACCACAAGAUAUUCUAUGAACAUAGUACAAUGUCUUCCUGGAGGGGUAAAAUUUUCCAUUACAAGAUUUUAAGAGAGGCCAUUUACUAUUCAAUUUGCGUUCAUUUUCAAAUUUGCCGCGCGAGUAUCUAUGUAGCGUCACGUGGUCAUUGGCAUUCAUUGGUCAUCACAUUUCAUAUAUUUAUUUCAUUUUCAUGGAUAACCGAUAACCUAAAAAUUUAGUAAAAAUUUUGAUUGGAAAAAAAUGCAUCGAUAACUGUCGAUAAGGGGGUGUGGGAAAUGGAAAUUAGUGGCUUUUUUGCUGUACUGUCUGCCAGUUUUUGCUCUGGGCUCUGGCUGGAUCUCUUGUUUAAACAAUUUUAAUCAGCUGAAAGUGGCCUACAAAAAAAAACCAAGAAGGAAAUGUAUAGCCUUGUGGCUAUGAAAGGCAAAAGAGAGAUAUAAAAAGUGUAUUGGCUAGUUGGAAGAAAGUCCACAUUGUCCAUGCAUAAUAAGUUAUUACUUUAUCAACAAAUAUCAAGAAGAUAGCAGGGUCACGAGCAUCAACUUCAUAAGUUCAAGAAUAUCGAGGAAAUCCAGCUCCUCGAUACUACUGGGCAAACUAGAAGAUUGAAGAGGACAAAUCCUUUUGAACUAGUUUGAGUGAUAGGUGAUAGUGAAAAACGGAGCAUAGUGCUUGUGUGCUGUGCCUGUGUAUGUUAGAAUAAUAGUGCACGAUCUUGUUAGAUUAGAUAAGAGACGCUAUGGGGUAAGCUCUUCAUUUUAAGAAACAGUAGUAAUUUAGGUUAAAUUAAAAUUGCUCAUUGGUCAAUUAUGACCAGAUUGUUUUUUUAUGUUUGGCAAAAAGGACUUAAGUCAGAAUUGCACAUUGAUAAUGUUUUGAUGAUUUCUGGACCAGAAAAAAACUGUUGUAGAUGUAAACUGUAUGUACAGUAGAAUCUACUACAGUACUGUAGAAAUCAUCAAAACAUUAUCGAUGUGCAAUUCUGACUUAAGCCCUUUUUCCCAAACAUCAGAGAAUUGUAAUGUACAAUAAUUCUCCUAUCUGCUUUUUCAUGAAUUUUGUAGGAGACGAAAAACCAUUUUUAGGAUCAUCUGCUUUCACAUGUAAAUUUUGACAUGUUUUGUAGUAAAUAGAUAGUUGAAUUUACUACAAAACAUGUCAAAAAAUAUAUGAAAACAGGAGGUGACUAUAAAAAAAGUUUUUAGUCUCUCUUACAAAACUCAUGAAAAACAAAUCGGAGAUAUGUCACAUCGGUGACUAUAUCCAGGGAAUGUCUAAAAAAUAUACUUUGAUGU
Diabrotica virgifera virgifera (western corn rootworm) is the source of this 2009-nucleotide long non-coding RNA. RefSeq lists it as uncharacterized. NCBI's taxonomy places the organism in Eukaryota, Metazoa, Arthropoda, Insecta, Coleoptera, Chrysomelidae. The record is from RefSeq and is a predicted model, not a curated record. The transcript is spliced from 2 exons.